AUAUCACACCUACUUUGAUGAUAUAUAUGCAAAAAUUGGAGUGAUACAGAGAAGAUGAGUGUGGCUUCUGCUCAAGGAAGAUGCAGACCUGUUUGUAGCAUUGUAGAGAAGGUUUUU
Molecule: small nuclear RNA, 117 nt
Organism: Harpia harpyja (harpy eagle)
Lineage: Eukaryota; Metazoa; Chordata; Aves; Accipitriformes; Accipitridae
Source: RefSeq, a predicted model, not a curated record